Molecule: unclassified non-coding RNA, 2449 nt
Filed under: Daphnia magna
Lineage: Eukaryota; Metazoa; Arthropoda; Branchiopoda; Diplostraca; Daphniidae
Description: hrp65 protein-like, transcript variant X5
Source: RNAcentral
CCUAUCGCCGACCGGCGAUCCGAUAGCUAAAUUCCAGCUAUUGUGGAUUAGACAACGUUGCAAGCAUUCGUCGCCAUUUCUUGAUGUGUUGACUGCGUUUUGUCGUUCGUGUGUUUGAAGGAAUAUUAAAAGCAACAAAUUCUGGGUUUCUCAAGUCAAAUAACAUGCAGAAACUAGAAACGGCGAGUUCGGAAAAACUAACUAAGGAGAGUUCUCCUGUUUCAAAUGCUGUCUCUACGCCUUCCAUAUCUACACCCCAAAAUUCUGUCAAUGGUACUGCUGCCUCUGUGGGAAAUAACAGUGGAAGAGGAAAACGUGGAAGUGGUAGGGGUGGCAUAGGAAGAGGGGGACAAUCAGGGAGAAACAAUCAAGGAAAUGGGAAAAAUGGUAACAACGUUGGCCGGUUUCAGCGUAAUACAAAUCAAGUUGGUCAAAGCCAUGGUGAGAAAAAAUGGGAAGAUAAUUCACAUGGUAAUGGGCAUCAAAAACUGUCAGAGGAUCGCCAAUUACUAGAGAAACUUGCAUCACUGUCCAAUUCUACUGCUGAUCUACCAAUCAGAUCCUUUACAGAAACUAAAUUUUCAGGCCGCAGCCGUCUGUAUGUUGGAAACCUUGGAAAUGAUAUAGUGGAGCAGGAUUUAAAGGAACACUUUUCUGCAUAUGGAGAAAUUGCAGAAGUCUUCCUCAAUAAGGAAAAGGGAUUUGCUUUUGUCAGGCUGGAUUACCGUUCCAAUUCAGAAAAGGCAAAACGAGAAUUGGAUGGGAAAGUUUUGAAAGGUCGUACGUUGCGCGUUCGCUCUGCUCCACAUAGCGCCGCUAUUCGUGUGAAAAAUUUGUCUCCCUUCGUAACAAAUGAAUUAUUGGAAAAAGCCUUUUCCAUAUUCGGAGAUAUUGAAAGAGCUAUAGUGGUUGCUAAUGAGCGUGGACAAUCAACGAACGAAGGUGUUGUUGAAUUUGUGCGCAAACCAGGAGCCCAGGCUGCAAUUCGGCGUUGCACCGAUGGCUGUUUUUUCCUAACUUCGUCAUUACGUCCCGUUGUAGUAGAACCAAUGGAACAAUUAGACGAUGAAGAUGGAUUUUCAGAACGCGCAUUUGCUAAAAAAACUCCGGAGUUUACUAAAGAACGCGAAACGGGGCCAAGGUUUGCUGAACCUAAUAGCUUCCAGUUUACUUACGGUCAACGCUGGAAGCAAUUGUUGGAACUGUAUAAGCAAAAAAUGGAUGCUGUUGAGCGGGAAUUGAAAAUCGAAGAAGAUAAGUUGGUGUCCCAGAUGGAAUAUGCUCGAUAUGAACAUGAAACCGAACUGCUUCGUGAACAACUCAGACUACGUGAGCAGGAUCGCGAGAGACAAAAACGUGACUGGGAAUUGAAAGAACGCCAACACGAAGAAUCCAGGUUACGAGAGGAGGAAACUCUUCGUCGACAACAGGAUGAAAUGCAGCAUCGAUUGCGCCAGCAGGAAGACGAAAUGCGUCGGCGUCAACAAGAAAACAACAUGUUCAUGCAAGAGCAAAACACAGAUGGAACUCCUCCAGAUUUUCGUCGACCUCUCCAACCUCCCACAUUUGAUCGGCCAAUGAUGGGUGGUAAUGGACCUCAUAAUCUCAUGGAUCUGCAAAUGAUGAUGAAUUGGGCAUAAAACACAUGAAUGUGUAAACGAUGCUCAUUUUGUGCAAAGAAAGCAGAAAUUCCUGGUGGAGCCUGAACAACUGGAUUGGGAUGGAUUUUCAUUGUGAGCUUACACCAAAAGGAUGAACGCUAAGGAAAUUGUUUAGUCAGCGUCACUGAUCCUGUUUCGUAAUUACUCCCAGUGCUCUUUCUGAUACACAAUUUUUUUUCGCUUAAUAGGAAGAAUUGUGAUGAAAGACAAAAUAUCUCGUAAAUUGGUGCAGUACGAGACGCGUUUCGUAGAGGUGGAUUUUUUCCAUUUUAAUGUUGAAGCAACGCUGCAAAUAAUUUUUAUCGCUUUUUAAUACUUCAAAAAUAGAUUUUUUUACGUGAAAUAACCUAUUAUAUUUGUUUUCAUUACUUAUGAUUGCAUUUACUAUCUCCUUUCAAUUUAUUUAUCUUUUAGUGUAUAAGAAUUGAGACAUUUUCCAUACAUCCAUGUUUACUUGCUACCAACCUUAACGCUUUAUUAUGUUUUGGUUUAAGGGGUAAGAAUCCAUUUAUGAUCUGCACAUAAACUGUAGGUGAAUAAUGGGCAAAUUCGCUACUGUUAUAUCCCUUAUGCUUAUAUUGCAUGUAUACUUAUUAAUUCACGGAAGAUAUUGAAUUGAUUCCUACCUCUUUUGGAUCAAUCUUAAUAUCUACUGGGGGGAGGUUUAGCACGGCAUAAAACUGGACAGAUUAUAACGUCUGGAAUACAUAAUUACGAUAUUAGUAUAUUGUCACAGGAAUGUUGUAUUUCUCACAAACAAGAAGUAAUACAACAAGCGAUGACUUAAA